Molecule: long non-coding RNA, 1236 nt
Organism: Alligator mississippiensis (American alligator)
Lineage: Eukaryota; Metazoa; Chordata; Crocodylia; Alligatoridae
Exons: 2
Source: RefSeq, a predicted model, not a curated record
CACCCUGCUACAUACAGCUGUGGCAAUUCUGAAGUGCUUUACCAGAAGGUGUGGUAAGGGGCCACAAAUCUACCUGCAGGUGGAACACUCUGGGGUUUUUAAGUGUCUCACAGCACAGCUGCAUUGUAAAGGGUUUCAAACGUCCCAUCUGUCUCUACCCUUUGGAGGGCACUGUCCUGUAAAAAAGCUUAACUGGGAGCUAUUACAUGUUAAACUACAGGUGGUACCAUCAGACCCCAGGAUCCCCUAAAUAUUAACUUGCACUAACAAUGAGCCAACUUGUUACAAACUAAAACAAGUAACAACGACGGAGAACAACUAGGGCUUUUUUGUUUGUUUAAAAAAAAUAAUCAUAUUUUCCAGUUUAUGUCCAUGAUCUUGCUCUAUUUCAGUUUACAUUUUGGUGCCUACCUCCAGUUAAUGUUACUGGCUGGUCUCUUACCAUUUUAUAUUAGACAGACUUCAAAAAAGAAAAAUAGCUGCUGGGUGUAAUUUUGCACCAUUGUGGCAUUAAAUGUGUAUACCUGACCGAUCAGAACAGGCUCUCAGAAAAAAAUAUUUAAAUUAGGAUCCUAGUAACAUUUCCUAUGUUUGAAUAUUCCUUGCUUGUUAAGGCCUUAAGACAUUACCAGAGCAUUAGUUCAGAUUAGGAUAUUAAGGUACUAGACAUUACUUUAAAAAAUAAAAUCAAGAAAUGACCCUUGUGUUAAGAGUUUAAGAACAAAAUAUAAUAAAAAGGUGAACUGAGAUGUAAGAUAGGGGAGGGGCACACACUUCAACUGCAGUCUUACAACUAAAAGCGUAAGCAGUGCUGAAUAUUCAAACUAGACUAAAAUGUUUCUGCACCUGUACCUAUAUUUUCCCUUUGAGAUCAUAAUUGACAAGUUUUUUAAAUAUUGUUUGUAUCAGAAUACAUAGUGCAGCUUCACAGCUGGAGGUCCUCAGCAUUAUGUACUGCACAAAGGGAAUCUCAGUGUCAGAGAGCUUAUAAACAAUAUCUUCCUUUAUCGCUGUUUAGUGUUUAUACAGAUUUGAUCAUUUACCUGUUUUUAUCUUCUGCUGUAGUAGAAACAAUGGAAUGAAGAGGAGACACUAAUGGCUUGGAAAGAAGAGGUGCAAGAGCAUGGGAUGGGGAACAGAAGGGAGCUAAGGAAGAAUAGACAGCCGAGUCCAGGAGGCAUGAUGAACUACAGAACUAGGACCAAAAAAGUUAAAAUCAGCACCGUCAAUCUAAAA